AAUAGCCCCCAGUCAGUCAUCUCCCAGUCAAUAGUCCCCCAGUCAGUCAUCUCCCAGUCAAUAGUCCACCAGUCAAUAGCCCCCCAGUCAUCCCCCCCCCAGUCAGUCAUCUCCCAGUCAAUAGCCCACCAGUCAAUAGCCCCCCAGUCAGUCAUCUCCCAGUCAAUAGUCCACCAGUCAAUAGCCCCCAGUCAGUCAUCUCCCAGUCAAUAGUCCACCAGUCAAUAGCCCCCAGUCAGUCAUCUCCCAGUCAAUAGCCCCCAGUCAAUAGUCCACCAGUCAAUAGUCCACCAGUCAAUACCCCCCAGUCAGUCAUCUCCCAGUCAAUAGUCCACCAGUCAACACCCCCCCAGUCAAUAGGCCACCAGUGAGGCAAGUGCUGCUGGUAAGCUUUCUUGACUUCAUUUUUGCCAACACACGGCUAACCUUUGUUUAAC
This is a long non-coding RNA of Oncorhynchus tshawytscha (Chinook salmon), 437 nucleotides long. Lineage: Eukaryota; Metazoa; Chordata; Actinopteri; Salmoniformes; Salmonidae. The record is from Ensembl.